This 464-nucleotide ribosomal RNA is filed under the name uncultured bacterium. RNAcentral describes it as "partial 16S ribosomal RNA". It matches the Rfam family "Bacterial small subunit ribosomal RNA", at positions 28 to 507 of the family's 1533-position model. The record is from RNAcentral.
GACGAACGCUGGCGGCGUGCUUAACACAUGCAAGUCGAACGGAAAGGCCCCUUUGGGGGUACUCGAGUGGCGAACGGGUGCGUAACACGUGAGUAACCUGCCCUUGACUUCGGGAUAACUUCAGGAAACUGGGGCUAAUACCGGAUAGGAAUCCUUGCUGCAUGGUGGGGGUUGGAAAGCUUCGGCGGUUUUGGAUGGACUCGCGGCUUAUCAGCUUGUUGGUGGGGUAGUGGCUUACCAAGGCUUUGACGGGUAGCCGGCCUGAGAGGGCGACCGGCCACAUUGGGACUGAGAUACUGCCCAGACUCCUACGGGAGGCAGCAGUGGGGAAUAUUGCACAAUGGGCGGAAGCCUGAUGCAGCAACGCCGCGUGCGGGAUGACGGCCUUCGGGUUGUAAACCGCUUUCAGCAGGGGCGAAGCUUUUGUGACGGUACCUGCAGAAGAAGCACCGGCUAACUACGUG